UAAACUCCUGUCAGAGGUCGAAGAAUGCCUGAUUUAUCAGGUUUGACGGUAACCUCAGAGGAAGCCCCGGCUAACUACGUGCCAGCAGCCGCGGUAAUACGUAGGGGGCAAACGUUGCUCGGAAUUACUGGGCGUAAAGGGUGUGUAGGUGGCUGAGUAAGUCACGGAUGAAAUCCCGAGGCUCAACCUCGGAAUUGUCCUUGAAACUGCUCAGCUUGAGGAUAGCUGAGGAAAACGGAAUUCCCGGUGGAGCGGUGAAAUGCGUAGAUAUCGGGAGGAACACCAGAGGCGAAGGCGGUUUUCU
Molecule: ribosomal RNA, 304 nt
Filed under: uncultured bacterium
Lineage: Bacteria
Description: bacterial SSU rRNA
Rfam family: Bacterial small subunit ribosomal RNA
Source: RNAcentral